CGGUAAAAGCUCAAAUUUGAAAUCUGACUUUUGUCUGAGUUGUAAUUUGUAGAGGAUGUUUUGGGCGCUGGUUCAAUUUAAAUUUCUUGGAACAGAAUGUCAAAGAGGGUGAGAAUCCCGUCUUGGGACCGGCGGUAGGGCCUGUGUAAAACUCCUUCGAC
RNAcentral lists this ribosomal RNA (161 nucleotides) under Chaetothyriales sp. RNAcentral's name for it is "partial large subunit ribosomal RNA". It matches the Rfam family "Eukaryotic large subunit ribosomal RNA", at positions 99 to 261 of the family's 3401-position model. The record is from RNAcentral. Lineage: Eukaryota; Fungi; Ascomycota; Eurotiomycetes; Chaetothyriales.